UACUAAUAAUUACUCAACCAAAAUAUUUUUCAUAUGAUUGUUCCUUGCUUAUCUAAGUUUUGUAUAAUUUUUCAUAUUUUCUGUUUCUAAAAUAAUUUAUAUGAAUUGUUAAAGUAGGCCUUGGAUAUCUUAAGUCCAAAAUAGACUAAAAAGAGAUUUAUGCCAAAUAGACAAUAUAUUUGUUUUCCUGUUCUAUUUUAACAAAUUUCUCUUAAUUUAAUUUAUCGUAUUUAUUCAUUUUCUGCCUUGUCUUAUCAAUUUAUUCCAAAAAUAUGAACCAAAAAAAAUUUAUGGCAAAAGGACAAUGUAUUUGUUUUUCUGUUCUGGUUUAGCAAAUUUCCCUUAAUUUAAUUUAUCGUAUCAUGUUAUUCUUUUUCUGCCUUAUCGUAUCAUAUAAUUUUUAUUUUGGUAUAAAAUAUGUAAUAUCUUAUAUGUUUAGGUAUAAAAUAUAUACCGUUUUACAGGUUUUGGUAUAAUAUAUCGUUGCAAAAAGGUAUUUACGGAAAGAAAUGCAAACAUUAACCUGUACAAAAUGUCUUAAAACAAAUUGCUGUCUUACAAUUAUAAAUAGUCUCCAAA
Molecule: long non-coding RNA, 579 nt
Filed under: Brassica napus (rape)
Lineage: Eukaryota; Viridiplantae; Streptophyta; Magnoliopsida; Brassicales; Brassicaceae
Description: long non-coding RNA (BNAP_LNC022682)
Source: RNAcentral